This 497-nucleotide ribosomal RNA is filed under the name uncultured bacterium. RNAcentral's name for it is "partial 16S ribosomal RNA". It matches the Rfam family "Bacterial small subunit ribosomal RNA", at positions 28 to 507 of the family's 1533-position model. The record is from RNAcentral.
GAUGAACGCUGGCGGCGUGCCUAAUACAUGCGAGUCGAGCGAACAGACGAGGAGCUUGCUCCUCUGACGUUAGCGGCGGACGGGUGAGUAACACGUGGAUAACCUACCUAUAAGACUGGGAUAACUUCGGGAAACCGGAGCUAAUACCGGAUAAUAUAUUGAACCGCAUGGUUCAAUAGUGAAAGACGGUUUUGCUGUCACUUAUAGAUGGAUCCGCGCCGCAUUAGCUAGUUGGUAAGGUAACGGCUUACCAAGGCAACGAUGCGUAGCCGACCUGAGAGGGUGAUCGGCCACACUGGAACUUGGACACGGUCCAGACUCCUACGGGAGGCAGCAGUCGGGAAUCUUCCGCAAUGGGCGAAAGCUUGACGGAGCAACGCCGCGUGAGUGAUGAAGGUCUUCGGAUCGUAAAACUCUGUUAUUAGGGAAGAACAAAUGUGUAAGUAACUAUGCACGUCUUGACGGUACCUAAUCAGAAAGCCACGGCUAACUACGUG